GAGCGGAUGAGGGGUGCUUGCAUCCCGAUUCAGCGGCGGACGGGUGAGUAAUGCCUAGGAAUCUGCCCGAUAGUGGGGGACAACGUUUCGAAAGGAACGCUAAUACCGCAUACGUCCUACGGGAGAAAGUGGGGGCUCUUCGGACCUCACGCUAUCGGAUGAGCCUAGGUCGGAUUAGCUAGUUGGUGGGGUAAAGGCUCACCAAGGCGACGAUCCGUAACUGGUCUGAGAGGAUGAUCAGUCACACUGGAACUGAGACACGGUCCAGACUCCUACGGGAGGCAGCAGUGGGGAAUAUUGGACAAUGGGCGAAAGCCUGAUCCAGCCAUGCCGCGUGUGUGAAGAAGGUCUUCGGAUUGUAAAGCACUUUAAGUUGGGAGGAAGGGCUGUAAGCGAAUACCUUGCAGUUUUGACGUUACCGACAGAAUA
Molecule: ribosomal RNA, 429 nt
Filed under: Azotobacter chroococcum
Lineage: Bacteria; Pseudomonadati; Pseudomonadota; Gammaproteobacteria; Pseudomonadales; Pseudomonadaceae
Description: bacterial SSU rRNA
Rfam family: Bacterial small subunit ribosomal RNA
Source: RNAcentral